This 1480-nucleotide ribosomal RNA is filed under the name metagenome. Its description in RNAcentral is "bacterial SSU rRNA". It matches the Rfam family "Bacterial small subunit ribosomal RNA". The record is from RNAcentral.
AGAGUUUGAUCCUGGCUCAGGAUGAACGCUAGCGGCAGGCCUAACACAUGCAAGUCGAGGGGUAAUCCCGCUUUCGGGCGGGAACGACCGGCGCACGGGUGAGUAACGCGUAUGCAACCUACCUUUAACUGGGGGAUAGCCCGAAGAAAUUCGGAUUAAUACCCCAUAUAACUAUAGAUAAGCAUUUAUUUAUAUUAAAAACUCCGGUGGUUAAAGAUGGGCAUGCGUAACAUUAGUUAGUUGGUGAGGUAACGGCUCACCAAGACUACGAUGUUUAGGGGGCCUGAGAGGGUGGUCCCCCACACUGGUACUGAGACACGGACCAGACUCCUACGGGAGGCAGCAGUGAGGAAUAUUGCGCAAUGGAGGCAACUCUGACGCAGCCAUGCCGCGUGCAGGAUGACGGCCCUACGGGUUGUAAACUGCUUUUAUACAGGAAGAACUUUCCGCACGUGUGCGGGAUUGACGGUACUGUACGAAUAAGCACCGGCUAACUCCGUGCCAGCAGCCGCGGUAAUACGGAGGGUGCAAGCGUUAUCCGGAUUUAUUGGGUUUAAAGGGUGCGUAGGCGGGAUAAUAAGUCAGUGGUGAAAUACUGCAGCUCAACUGUAGAACUGCCAUUGAUACUGUUAUUCUUGAGUUCGAUUGAGGUAGGCGGAAUGUGUAAUGUAGCGGUGAAAUGCUUAGAUAUUACACAGAACACCGAUUGCGUAGGCAGCUUACUAAGUCGACACUGACGCUGAGGCACGAAAGCGUGGGGAGCGAACAGGAUUAGAUACCCUGGUAGUCCACGCUGUAAACUAUGAUCACUAGCUGUUGGCGAUACAUCGAUCAGCGGCAAAGCGAAAGCAUUAAGUGAUCCACCUGGGGAGUACGGUCGCAAGAUUGAAACUCAAAGGAAUUGACGGGGGCCCGCGCAAGCGGUGGAACAUGUGGUUUAAUUCGAUGAUACGCGAGGAACCUUACCUGGGCUUAAAUGCAGAUUGACGUUUCGGGAAACCGGAAUUCUCUUCGGAGCGAUUUGCAAGGUGCUGCAUGGUUGUCGUCAGCUCGUGCCGUGAGGUGUCGGGUUAAGUCCCAUAACGAGCGCAACCCCUAUCGUUAGUUGCCAGCGGAUAAUGCCGGGGACUCUAACGAAACUGCCGGUGGAAACCGAGAGGAAGGUGGGGAUGACGUCAAAUCAGCACGGCCCUUAUGUCCAGGGCUACACACGUGUUACAAUGGUCGGUACAGAGGGCAGCUACCUGGUGACAGGAUGCUAAUCUCGAAAGCCGGUCUUAGUUCGGAUCGAAGUCUGCAACUCGACUUCGUGAAGCUGGAAUCGCUAGUAAUCGCGUAUCAGCAACGACGCGGUGAAUACGUUCCCGGGCCUUGUACACACCGCCCGUCAAGCCAUGGAAGCUGGGGGUACCUGAAGUCUGUAACCGCAAGGAGCGGCCUAGGGUAAAACUAGUGACUGGGGCUAAGUCGUAACAAGGUA